CGCGUAGGCGGCGCAACAAGUCACUUGUGAAAUCUCCGGGCUUAACUCGGAGCGGCCAAGUGAUACUGUCGUGCUAGAGUGCGGAAGGGGCUACUGGAAUUCUCGGUGUAGCGGUGAAAUGCGUAGAUAUCGAGAGGAACACCUGCGGCGAAGGCGGGUAGCUGGGCCGACACUGACGCUGAUGCGCGAAAGCCAGGGGAGCGAACG
RNAcentral lists this ribosomal RNA (207 nucleotides) under uncultured bacterium. Its description in RNAcentral is "partial 16S ribosomal RNA". It matches the Rfam family "Bacterial small subunit ribosomal RNA", at positions 568 to 774 of the family's 1533-position model. The record is from RNAcentral.